This is a small nucleolar RNA of Rattus norvegicus (Norway rat), 130 nucleotides long. Ensembl annotates it as small nucleolar RNA SNORA15. NCBI's taxonomy places the organism in Eukaryota, Metazoa, Chordata, Mammalia, Rodentia, Muridae. The record is from Ensembl.
GCAUGGCUGAAUACUGUGUUCUUCAGUCAGUAAUUUACACAGCCAAACACCAUGCAAAAGUAAAGUCUUCCUUUAAGAUGGCUGGUAUGCUAUACUUUAUGGUAUAUCAUCAUUAAAAGUGAGUACAAGA